GACGAACGCUGGCGGCGUGCUUAACACAUGCAAGUCGAACGGAAAGGCCCUGCUUUUGUGGGGUGCUCGAGUGGCGAACGGGUGAGUAACACGUGAGUAACCUGCCCUUGACUUUGGGAUAACUUCAGGAAACUGGGGCUAAUACCGGAUAGGAGCUCCUGCUGCAUGGUGGGGGUUGGAAAGUUUCGGCGGUUGGGGAUGGACUCGCGGCUUAUCAGCUUGUUGGUGGGGUAGUGGCUUACCAAGGCUUUGACGGGUAGCCGGCCUGAGAGGGUGACCGGCCACAUUGGGACUGGGAUACGGCCCAGACUCAUACGGGAGGCAGCAGUGGGGAAUAUUGCACAAUGGGCGGAAGCCUGAUGCAGCAACGCCGCGUGCGGGAUGACGGCCUUCGGGUUGUAAACCGCUUUCGCCUGUGACGAAGCGUGAGUGACGGUAAUGGGUAAAGAAGCACGGGCGAACUACGU
This 467-nucleotide ribosomal RNA is filed under the name uncultured bacterium. RNAcentral's name for it is "partial 16S ribosomal RNA". It matches the Rfam family "Bacterial small subunit ribosomal RNA", at positions 28 to 506 of the family's 1533-position model. The record is from RNAcentral.